AAUCAUGAUAGAGGCGCGGUGUUUAAGAGUAUUAUAUCUGAGGCAAGCACGAUGAAGAUAUAAAAAAGGAACCAUCGCCGAAGCAUAAAGCUGAUGCUUUCAGGCUUUAUAGCUGGUUCUAAAUAGAAUAUAUUUAGAACUGUCACAAACGCAUAGUUUGUGGAGAGCUAUCAUGCAG
RNAcentral lists this non-coding RNA (178 nucleotides) under Fervidicella metallireducens. RNAcentral's name for it is "Lysine sequence". It matches the Rfam family "Lysine riboswitch aptamer". From Rfam's summary of the family: Riboswitches are metabolite binding domains within certain messenger RNAs that serve as precision sensors for their corresponding targets. Allosteric rearrangement of mRNA structure is mediated by ligand binding, and this results in modulation of gene expression. RNAcentral also lists the same sequence under 1 other name. The record is from RNAcentral. Lineage: Bacteria; Bacillati; Bacillota; Clostridia; Eubacteriales; Clostridiaceae.